GGCAAUUUCACAUAUUCAUUGGAAUAAAACAAUUAUUAGUGCAAAAACAAUUUACAUUUCAGAUUUCACAAACAAAAUAUAACAACUGUAAACAAAAGCAAUUAUUUGUGCCUCAAAGGUAAUUCCACCUUGACUAAUGAAAAAUUGUCUGUUGCAGACGGUGGAGUUGGCCUCCGCGUGUUAUCUCCAACGUUUUCCGGCAAUUCGAUUUCUUUUUGCCAUUCUGCUUUUUAUUUCUGUAAAUGUUUUGUCUUUUUACCAAGGGAGCGUCAGCCAUGUUUUUUGAAACUCGCGGUAUCUUAGCAACACUGACAGCGCUAUUCAAUGGUUAAUAGAAAGAGCAUUCUAGUAACAGCAACACUGACACAGAGCUUGUCAUUGAUUCCGGACAGAGAGAGAUGGCAGCAGCAGUCAGAGCUGCACGGAUCUGUCAAUCAGAUAUUUAUUUUCAAAAUAUGGAACAAAAUGUGUCCCUUAUCAAUAAGGGACACGUCUUUAAAUUUCUAAAUAUGGGACGAUUAUGUAUUUUAAGGGACUGUUGGCAACGCUUCGUUGACAGUGAACCAAACAGUAAAGGGGCAGGCCAUAAAGCCAAAACAAUGAGCUAAAAGAAGCUAAAACGCUCUGUAUAACUGGGGAACUGUAGCGUUGCUGAUAAUUAGCUGUGGGUUUAUCAUUUAUCGUUUUGUUUCAUAUAAGUAUACUGUUUAGUGAGGUCUACAGGUUACCUUGAAGUUGAUAUGGAUAUGAUCCUUCCUGCAUGCAUUUGCAGACACAUGCAAUGCAACACGACUAACUACAGUCUCCAAAAAUCAACUGAACCCAAAUAAUAGAAGCAAAGGAAGGAUUUACUGCAAGGCUGUUGCACUGGAUUAAAUUAGACGGUAGAGGUGUACUUAAUAAACUGAUAUGUCAGAGCAUGCAUGUACUACUUAGCUGAUUAGGAGUCUUUCCAAGCAUACUGGGUGUAUAUUUGCUUAGAAAGGUCUUUAAUCAGCUUGAGCCAUCCUCCAUGCCGCUGUUGAACUGUAAAUGAACCCAAACUAUUGGCCGUGGAACAAAAUCAAAAAAAGCAUACAGUUUUCAUUGCAGCUGGUAGCGUUAAGGGGCUUUUUAAUCAUCGUGCUGUCUCAAUUUUCCAUAUCGUUAGCCAUUCAUUCAGUUGUCUCUCCCAUUAGCUGCAGUUACCGUAAGAUCCUGCUGCGGCCUAAUAUCACCAGUAUUCAGUGUUUCUCGCCGUCUUCAUGUGGAAGGUCAGGGUCUUUAAAAUAGUGCUGUAAUGCUUGAUCCUCUCCAGAGACAUUUCUGUUCUGUAACUCACUGUGGGAAACGAGUAUUUUCAGAUGCACUAACUCAGCCAGUGUUAUGACGAGGCUGUCUCUCUGGGGGAGGUAUAUGGCGGUGCUCAUAAAGGAAGCUCUAGGGUUUAUGAGGACAGGGAUUUUGUUUGGUUCUGAUGGAGGUGAGCUGCAGCACAAAAUGCUGCAAUUUAUGCUGAUGUUGAGAUGGAAACAUCCGGUGUAUGCAUUGAUCUGCUUGGAACGCUGACAGACAUGGCAAUGCGCACUUCCUCCCUUUCAUUCUCUCCUGUGAUUCAACACUUCUUUCCUUGACUUUUCUUUUAUCCAUUCUAUUGUCACAUUUUCCCACCUUCCUUCUUUUCCAUCGCUUCCUUCCUUUUCAUGAAGUAUUUCUUCCUGCUAUGCACGAUUAACUUCCUCCUCCUGUCAUUUUUUGUUAUUCUCAUGCAGACAGCGUGGUAUUUGAAAGCUCCACUGCAUAGUAAUACACUCUUGUUUUUCUACAAAAAAGAAGUUCAACAAGUUCCCAGAUAGUGGUCUGAGAGGAGAAUCAAGCAUUCAAAUUACACAAAUUAUCUUUUUUUUCUCACCUAAUCUCUGUGAUUUCUUUUAACUUGUCUAAUGUCCGAUUAAUUAUGGGGAUGUCAAAAUACAUAAUCUUCAAUAAUGUAAUGAUGUCCUGUACAGUAUAUGUAAUCCCAUGCUUUACCGUCUAUUCUGGAUCUAGUUCCAGUUAAGUGUGAGUAAUGUGUUUCUAGCAGGCAGGCAGGCAGACAGGCAGACAGACAGACCACAGUACUUUUUGCUCUUGUUCUUCUCUCUCUUGGAAAGCCACUUAUGGUAAUAGGAAGUCUUAAUCCUGUAGCAGUAGAAGACCAGCAGCACUGCAGGCAGGACCACUAGGAAGGCAAACAGCAGCCCCACCACCAGCCCCACCUGACCUGUGGAGACAACACACACACACACAACACAUGUACACUAGUAUGUCCGAUAGGAGUCAUAUCCUUUUCCCACAAUCCUCCAGGAAGUCCCACCAAAGUGUGAAUUCUGCGCAUGGACCCAGCUUUCAGCUACUAUUGGUCAGUGUGACCUAUGACCCGUGACGUCACAACACCAACAAGACCUCAGCCCAACUUCUGUUUCUCUGGACUCUCCACAGCAGCUGUCUCCCAGUGCGUCCUGCUCAGAUUGGACACACAGAACCGAACUUUCUAUCUUACAGCAGCGAUACAAGUGCCUGCCUAAGACCCCUGCAAACCAGCUCAGUUAGCCAGGGGCCCCAUACACAAAGUUUUCCUGAUAGCUUCACAUGCCAAUAGAAGCAACAAAGUAGCUUUUCACCUAGCGGUUUAACUCUGAGGAGAACAGACAGAGUGACUGGGUCCUCCAUCAGCGCACUUGGAAAACACACACAGCAAAAGACUGCAACUGAACUGAACCCUGCCUGGCUAACCCACAACAGAACCACAAGCUAACAACUAGCACACCAAAGCAACAUCUCUUCUUCCACAGACAGUUACACCAAGAGGAGCAAACAACAAAAAGACAAACAGCAUAAAGCAACGGAAGAGAGGAGGAGAAGGGGAUUAAAG
This is a long non-coding RNA of Micropterus dolomieu (smallmouth bass), 2893 nucleotides long. RefSeq lists it as uncharacterized. NCBI's taxonomy places the organism in Eukaryota, Metazoa, Chordata, Actinopteri, Centrarchiformes, Centrarchidae. The transcript has 3 exons. The record is from RefSeq and is a predicted model, not a curated record.